GUCAGCAUGGCAUAGUGGAUGGAGCAUUAGAUUAUGAUUCUGGAGACCAAGGUUCAAAUUCCUGCUUAGCCA
Molecule: non-coding RNA, 72 nt
Organism: Phrynosoma platyrhinos (Desert horned lizard)
Lineage: Eukaryota; Metazoa; Chordata; Lepidosauria; Squamata; Phrynosomatidae
Source: the annotation of a GenBank genome assembly